Molecule: ribosomal RNA, 317 nt
Filed under: uncultured bacterium
Lineage: Bacteria
Description: bacterial SSU rRNA
Rfam family: Bacterial small subunit ribosomal RNA
Source: RNAcentral
ACAAUGGGCGCAAGCCUGAUCCAGCCAUGCCGCGUGGAUGAUGAAGGCCUUAGGGUUGUAAAAUCCUUUCGUCGGGGACGAUAAUGACGGUACCCGAAGAAGAAGCUCCGGCUAACUUCGUGCCAGCAGCCGCGGUAAUACGAGGGGGGCUAGCGUUGUUCGGAUUUACUGGGCGUAAAGCGCGUGUAGGCGGGUCGCUAAGUUGGGGGUGAAAUCCCGAGGCUCAACCUCGGAACUGCCUUCAAAACUGGCGACCUGGAGCAAAGAAGAGGCGAGUGGAAUUGCGAGUGUAGAGGUGAAAUUCGUAGAUAUUCGCA